RNAcentral lists this ribosomal RNA (478 nucleotides) under uncultured bacterium. RNAcentral describes it as "partial 16S ribosomal RNA". It matches the Rfam family "Bacterial small subunit ribosomal RNA", at positions 28 to 523 of the family's 1533-position model. The record is from RNAcentral.
GACGAACGCUGGCGGCGUGCUUAACACAUGCAAGUCGAGCGAUGAAAUCCCUUCGGGGAUGGAUUAGCGGCGGACGGGUUAGUAACACGUGGGCAACCUGCCUCAAAGUGGGGGAUAGCCUUCCGAAAGGGAGAUUAAUACCGCAUAACAUUAGUUUUUCACAUGAAGUACUAAUUAAAGGAGUAAUCCGCUUUGAGAUGGGCCCGCGGCGCAUUGGCUAGUUGGUGAGGUAACGGCUCACCAAGGCCACGAUGCGUAGCCGACCUGAGAGGGUGAUCGGCCACAUUGGAACUGAGACACGGUCCAGACUCCUACGGGAGGCAGCAGUGGGGAAUAUUGCACAAUGGGCGAAAGCCUGAUGCAGCAACGCCGCGUGAGUGAUGAAGGCCUUCGGGUUGUAAAGCUCUGUCUUUGGGGACGAUAAUGACGGUACCCAAGGAGGAAGCCACGGCUAACUACGUGCCAGCAGCCGCGGUAA